RNAcentral lists this ribosomal RNA (253 nucleotides) under uncultured bacterium. Its description in RNAcentral is "partial 16S ribosomal RNA". It matches the Rfam family "Bacterial small subunit ribosomal RNA", at positions 524 to 776 of the family's 1533-position model. The record is from RNAcentral.
UACGUAGGUGGCAAGCGUUGUCCGGAUUUAUUGGGUUUAAAGGGUGCGUAGGCGGCCCUGUAAGUCAGUGCUGAAAUAUCCCGGCUUAACCGGGAGGGUGGCAUUGAUACUGCAGGGCUUGAGUACAGAUGAAGUAGGCGGAAUUGACGGUGUAGCGGUGAAAUGCAUAGAUAUCGUCAAGAACACCGAUAGCGAAGGCAGCUUACUAAGUUGUAACUGACGCUGAGGCACGAAAGUGUGGGGAUCAAACAGG